AGUGUACCGCGGAACAGUGGUUAAAAAACACUGGAUUAGAGAAACUGUAUAAAAAAGUUUUGCUUGUCAGCGAACACUCUUAUUCUGAAGGGUCAUAUUUAUGUAUAACCCAUGUGACUAGCUUCAGCCAAUCGGGUUGCUGCGUUCUCUGACGUUCUCUACACUCGUAGCUGACUUGCUGUCUAACACUGAGUUUUUUGCUUGAGAAGGAGCUUCUCGCAUUAUUUUUUUUUCCUCACCCUGACUGCGUUCGGGAUCAUCUUGUGUGUGUUGUGGAACUGGACUUGGCUUUUUUUGUGUGUCUUUUUUGGGUUUUUUUUUUCGUUCGGCUGGAAUCUGGACUAAGGAGUCAAGGAUCAUCACUGAAACGGAUCUUCCUAAGGAGAACGA
Poecilia reticulata (guppy) is the source of this 390-nucleotide long non-coding RNA. RefSeq lists it as uncharacterized. The record is from RefSeq and is a predicted model, not a curated record. NCBI's taxonomy places the organism in Eukaryota, Metazoa, Chordata, Actinopteri, Cyprinodontiformes, Poeciliidae.